GCUAAGUUAGUUUAAUAUUAGAAUUUGUAACUUGUAAUUACAGGGUUAUUAAUUAGCA
RNAcentral lists this transfer RNA (58 nucleotides) under Oesophagostomoides stirtoni. RNAcentral describes it as "tRNA-Thr". The record is from RNAcentral. Lineage: Eukaryota; Metazoa; Nematoda; Chromadorea; Rhabditida; Strongylidae.